RNAcentral lists this ribosomal RNA (867 nucleotides) under uncultured marine bacterium. RNAcentral describes it as "bacterial SSU rRNA". It matches the Rfam family "Bacterial small subunit ribosomal RNA", at positions 38 to 916 of the family's 1533-position model. The record is from RNAcentral.
CGUGGCGGGUGCUUAACACAUGCAAGUCGAACGAUGAAGCCCAGCUUGCUGGGUGGAUUAGUGGCGAACGGGUGAGUAACACGUGGGUGAUCUGCCCUGCACUUCGGGAUAAGCCUGGGAAACUGGGUCUAAUACCGGAUAGGACCUCGGGAUGCAUGUUCCGGGGUGGAAAGGUUUUCCGGUGCAGGAUGGGCCCGCGGCCUAUCAGCUUGUUGGUGGGGUAACGGCCCACCAAGGCGACGACGGGUAGCCGGCCUGAGAGGGCGACCGGCCACACUGGGACUGAGACACGGCCCAGACUCCUACGGGAGGCAGCAGUGGGGAAUAUUGCACAAUGGGCGCAAGCCUGAUGCAGCGACGCCGCGUGAGGGAUGACGGCCUUCGGGUUGUAAACCUCUUUCAGUACCGACGAAGCGCAAGUGACGGUAGGUACAGAAGAAGCACCGGCCAACUACGUGCCAGCAGCCGCGGUAAUACGUAGGGUGCGAGCGUUGUCCGGAAUUACUGGGCGUAAAGAGCUCGUAGGCGGUUUGUCGCGUCGUCUGUGAAAACCCGCAGCUCAACUGCGGGCUUGCAGGCGAUACGGGCAGACUUGAGUACUGCAGGGGAGACUGGAAUUCCUGGUGUAGCGGUGAAAUGCGCAGAUAUCAGGAGGAACACCGGUGGCGAAGGCGGGUCUCUGGGCAGUAACUGACGCUGAGGAGCGAAAGCGUGGGUAGCGAACAGGAUUAGAUACCCUGGUAGUCCACGCCGUAACGGUGGGCGCUAGGUGUGGGUUUCCUUUCCACGGGAUCCGUGCCGUAGCUAACGCAUUAGCGCCCCCGCCUGGGGAGUACGGCCGCAAGGCUAAAACUCAAUGAUUGACGG